RNAcentral lists this long non-coding RNA (1067 nucleotides) under Elaeis guineensis (African oil palm). RNAcentral's name for it is "long non-coding RNA (EGUI_LNC016178)". Lineage: Eukaryota; Viridiplantae; Streptophyta; Magnoliopsida; Arecales; Arecaceae. The record is from RNAcentral.
AACUAAUCCCCUGCAAAAGAAUUCCAUACAAUAUGAUCAUAAGAAAACCGGAUUUUCCUGAAAGAAAAUAACAAAUUAUGCCAAAGCCUAGCAUAAAUGAGAACCAUAUGACAACGGCAUUGCUCACACCCAAAUUGGAAAUACUUGUGAGCUUAAGCUGAAAUUGUCAAGACACUAGCCCCAGUGAAGAUCUCAAAAUAUUACAAUAUAUGUUCUCUUACUUGGAAGGUCGCAACUUGCAACUAAUUCAAUUUCUCUCUUACUCCUAAUAGGAGAAUGAGAGAGACCAUUACAAUAGAAAUAUAAAGGUUCUGAUGCUCACACCAACCCUUUCAAUGAUAUUGAUUCCUUCACCAAAAAUUUAAAAUUUUAUCAGUCAAAAUGUUGAAGAAAUCAUUAUUAUUUUCUAGAAUAUCUUUCUUGACCAUAUUGGAAGCCUCCCUAAUGAAGAUUGUCAUAGGCUAUGUUUCAGCCCAGAGUAGCCUUACCAGAUGAGAAUUUGAACCUCAAGUGGCACCAACAAGUUCUGAAUCCUCUUCUUCUUAGCACAACAGGUAUGACAAUAGGUCACUCACUUCAAUAGUUAUUACCUGUGACAUUCUACAAAACUGGAUGCAUUAAAGAUCUGCAGAUCACUGUAACAUUCUACAAAACUGGAUGCAUUAAAGAUCUGCAAUCACUUAGUUUACUUAUUUGCACAAGGUCAAAGCAAAAAAUGCUCUCAUAUGAACUAGCAGUGGCUCAACCACAAGAAUCAUAGUAUUCAUAACCACCAUAAAGGAUCCGCAUAUACCUAUACCAAGCAAUGGUACACAAUACAGUAAAAUUAGUUUCCAUUUACAAAGCCAAAUCAGACACCAUAUUUCAGCCCUCAGAGCAGGAAAAGUGAUUCAAGUUAAUGAUCAGAAAGAACUCAGUGACAUGAUUUUGGUGGCAUAUCAUAACAAACAGUUAUAUUGGUUUGUUAUAAUGCAUGACACAAAGAUAGUGUAAAGUAUAUCCUGCAUAAUGUAACAAUUAAAAAAAAAUCCCUAUUUUGUAUAACAGACAAGUUGUAUUAACAUAAC